Molecule: long non-coding RNA, 1553 nt
Organism: Astatotilapia calliptera (eastern happy)
Lineage: Eukaryota; Metazoa; Chordata; Actinopteri; Cichliformes; Cichlidae
Source: Ensembl
GUUGCACUUUAGUAUUUUUGUACUCAACAAAAAAGAAAAAUAAAAACAACAAAAAAGUAGACAAAAAAAGAACCAAUAGAAAACAAAAUGAACCUAAGAAACAGGAGUGGAGCAGAGAGCUGGCUUGCUGGGAUGGAGAGAGAAGAUGGAAGUCAGGGAUGGAAGAGUUGAUACACAAAUUAAAAUAAAACAAAAAAGAGGAAAGAUCAUUCUGAUCAGGCAGAUGUGUGCGAUUCAGCUCAGUGCUGUGCUUUCCAUUCCAGUGUGCUCCCCCUCGACCUUUACAUACAGCUCUGGAACUGGACACAACGCAAACAACAAGAGGAACUUCUGGAGUUGCGUCUCUUGUCCAGCCAAUGGGACGAGAGAUGCAUCUUCCAUCCCCAUUAUUUCCCUUUUCCAUACUCAAUCCUUUCCCCUUCAGUUCUUGAUUUUGGCUUGGUGUAAACAAUGAGGAAAAAAACAAAAAUAACAGGAGGUCAGAUCUGAAAGAGGAACGACUGAGAUCUGGAGGAAACUCUCGAGUUAGAUUGGAAGGUUGUCUUCUGUCCAAUUAAAACACGGUUUGGAAGGAACAGCAUGCACAUCAGCUUCCCUGUUCACAUCUGUGUGUACACUUUGUUUUAGAGAUACAACUGCUAAGAAGGAACCGCGGGCCUGAAUAAAAGCGAAUGUCAGUAAACAGAAAGUGACAUGCUGCAAAUGGAAAGCGCAAGCGCUGCAUGACACCACCUACAGUUCUCGGGCGUAUAUAGCGUACAAUAUGGAGACCAGCGCAGCAAUGUUCUGCGGCGUCUCCCUUGUACAAGCACACAAGUGGAGCUCGAUUGUUUUGCGCCGCAGUCCACUUGCUGGCCCAAUAUUGAGUAUUGAUUUAUGAGAGGAUAGAUACAGAACAAACCAAAUUUGAAAAACAAAGAGGAAGAAAAGGGAGAAUCCAAAUAAUUCAUUCCUAUGGUUACCUCCUUAUACAUUUUCCCUUUUACAGUUCGGAGGGAUGUCCAGGUGUAUCCAAACUGUUCAUGCAGCCAUCACCUCCACCCGGGGUUAGAGUGAAACAAAAUCACAAAUGAAUCCAAAAGAGGGGAACGUGUGGGGGGUGAGCCGCAGCUGCAGUGUCCUCCUUGGUGGUAACAUUGUUAGCCUGGGAGGAGGGGGCCAAGUCUGUAAGGCGCCGUCUGAUCAGAAGCCGACAUAGUAAAAGAUGGCGGGGAGGAUCACAGCAGACUGGUAGGUAGGGCAGCAAGAGGGAGAAAUAGAAGUGGGUUUGUCCGUGACCACACUUGUGAUGUUUCUUUUUUGGAUGAUAUGUCAGCUAUUUUACAAGAUAUUCCCUCAUUUUUUUGUCUUUUUUGUAGUUUGUUUUGUUUUUCCUUUAAGAGCAUCAAGUCAAGUAGCACCCGAACCAACCCAGACAAAAGCCCGAAAGCCUGACCCUGUAAAGCCUGCCACAACUAGCCCGUUAACAGAAAACAGGCCCCCCAACAUCAACGAGAAUGACAGUCACAACAACAUCGAUUGAAAUGAUACUUUAAAAAGCAACACAAAAUAAU